This is a non-coding RNA of Podarcis muralis (Common wall lizard), 274 nucleotides long. The record is from RefSeq and is a predicted model, not a curated record. Lineage: Eukaryota; Metazoa; Chordata; Lepidosauria; Squamata; Lacertidae.
AACAAGUCAGUUGAGACAGAUUGGUCAGCCAUGAAGACAGCAUGGAAUUGGGUUGGGAAUAAAACCUCUGAAAGCUGAUAGUGUGAGCUCUGAAAGGUUUUGUUCCUAAUGAAUGUUUAUGGCCAGCCCAAUGUUCAAAGCAGAGUUACUUCCUGAAGCCCUUUACAGGAAAUGACACUGGAGUCAGCACAACUACUUCUGAAAGAGAGUCUUCUCCCUGAAGUGUCUCCACCUCCAUCGUUCAGCCCGGAUACUGAGAUCCAGCUCUGAGGGC